GGGUUGUGAGGUUAAGCGACUAAGCGUACACGGUGGAUGCCCUGGCAGUCAGAGGCGAUGAAGGACGUGCUAAUCUGCGAAAAGCGUCGGUAAGGUGAUAUGAACCGUUAUAGCCGGCGAUGUCCGAAUGGGGAAACCCAGUGCAAUUCGUUGCACUAUCGUUUGAUGAAUACAUAGUCAAACGAGGCGAACCGGGGGAACUGAAACAUCUAAGUACCCCGAGGAAAAGAAAUCAACCGAGAUUCCCCCAGUAGCGGCGAGCGAACGGGGAGCAGCCCGGAGUCUGAAUCAGCUUGUGUGUUAGUGGAAGCGUCUGGAAAGUCGCAGGGUACAGGGUGAUACUCCCGUACACUAAAACGCACAGGCUGUGAACUCGAAGAGUAGGGCGGGACACGUGGUAUCCUGUCUGAAUAUGGGGGGACCAUCCUCCAAGGCUAAAUACUCCUGACUGACCGAUAGUGAACCAGUACCGUGAGGGAAAGGCGAAAAGAACCCCGGCGAGGGGAGUGAAAAAGAACCUGAAACCGUGUACGUACAAGCAGUAGGAGCCUCUUUAUGGGGUGACUGCGUACCUUUUGUAUAAUGGGUCAGCGACUUAUAUUCUGUAGCAAGGUUAACCGUAUAGGGGAGCCGCAGGGAAACCGAGUCUUAACUGGGCGUUAAGUUGCAGGGUAUAGACCCGAAACCCGGUGAUCUAGCCAUGGGCAGGUUGAAGGUUGGGUAACACUAACUGGAGGACCGAACCGACUAAUGUUGAAAAAUUAGCGGAUGACUUGUGGCUGGGGGUGAAAGGCCAAUCAAACCGGGAGAUAGCUGGUUCUCCCCGAAAGCUAUUUAGGUAGCGCCUCGUGAAUUCAUCUUCGGGGGUAGAGCACUGUUUCGGCUAGGGGGUCAUCCCGACUUACCAACCCGAUGCAAACUACGAAUACCGAAGAAUGUUAUCACGGGAGACACACGGCGGGUGCUAACGUCCGUCGUGAAGAGGGAAACAACCCAGACCGCCAGCUAAGGUCCCAAAGUCAUGGUUAAGUGGGAAACGAUGUGGGAAGGCCCAGACAGCCAGGAUGUUGGCUUAGAAGCAGCCAUCAUUUAAAGAAAGCGUAAUAGCUCACUGGUCGAGUCGGCCUGCGCGGAAGAUGUAACGGGGCUAAACCAUGCACCGAAGCUGCGGCAGCGACACUAUGUGUUGUUGGGUAGGGGAGCGUUCUGUAAGCCGUCGAAGGUGGCCUGUGAGGGUUGCUGGAGGUAUCAGAAGUGCGAAUGCUGACAUAAGUAACGAUAAUGCGGGUGAAAAACCCGCACGCCGGAAGACCAAGGGUUCCUGUCCAACGUUAAUCGGGGCAGGGUGAGUCGACCCCUAAGGCGAGGCCGAAAGGCGUAGUCGAUGGGAAACAGGUUAAUAUUCCUGUACUCGGUGUUACUGCGAAGGGGGGACGGAGAAGGCUAUGUUGGCCGGGCGACGGUUGUCCCGGUUUAAGCAUGUAGGCGGAUGUUCCAGGUAAAUCCGGAACGUUACUAACGCUGAGGUGUGAUGACGAGGCACUACGGUGCUGAAGUGACAAAUGCCCUGCUUCCAGGAAAAGCCUCUAAGCAUCAGGUAACAUCAAAUCGUACCCCAAACCGACACAGGUGGUCAGGUAGAGAAUACCAAGGCGCUUGAGAGAACUCGGGUGAAGGAACUAGGCAAAAUGGUGCCGUAACUUCGGGAGAAGGCACGCUGAUAGGUAGGUGAAGUGGUUUACCCAUGGAGCUGAAAUCAGUCGAAGAUACCAGCUGGCUGCAACUGUUUAUUAAAAACACAGCACUGUGCAAACACGAAAGUGGACGUAUACGGUGUGACGCCUGCCCGGUGCCGGAAGGUUAAUUGAUGGGGUUAUCCGUAAGGAGAAGCUCUUGAUCGAAGCCCCGGUAAACGGCGGCCGUAACUAUAACGGUCCUAAGGUAGCGAAAUUCCUUGUCGGGUAAGUUCCGACCUGCACGAAUGGCGUAAUGAUGGCCAGGCUGUCUCCACCCGAGACUCAGUGAAAUUGAACUCGCUGUGAAGAUGCAGUGUACCCGCGGCAAGACGGAAAGACCCCGUGAACCUUUACUAUAGCUUGACACUGAACACUGGUCCUUGAUGUGUAGGAUAGGUGGGAGGCUUUGAAGUGUGGACGCCAGUCUGCAUGGAGCCAUCCUUGAAAUACCACCCUUUAAUGGCUGGUGUUCUAACGUGGGCCCGUUAUCCGGGUUGCGGACAGUGUCUGGUGGGUAGUUUGACUGGGGCGGUCUCCUCCUAAAGAGUAACGGAGGAGCACGAAGGUCAGCUAAUCCUGGUCGGACAUCAGGAGGUUAGUGCAAUGGCAUAAGCUGGCUUGACUGCGAGCGUGACGGCGCGAGCAGGUGCGAAAGCAGGUCAUAGUGAUCCGGUGGUUCUGAAUGGAAGGGCCAUCGCUCAACGGAUAAAAGGUACUCCGGGGAUAACAGGCUGAUACCGCCCAAGAGUUCAUAUCGACGGCGGUGUUUGGCACCUCGAUGUCGGCUCAUCACAUCCUGGGGCUGAAGUAGGUCCCAAGGGUAUGGCUGUUCGCCAUUUAAAGUGGUACGCGAGCUGGGUUUAGAACGUCGUGAGACAGUUCGGUCCCUAUCUGCCGUGGGCGCUGGAGAAUUGAGGGGGGCUGCUCCUAGUACGAGAGGACCGGAGUGGACGCAUCACUGGUGUUCGGGUUGUCAUGCCAAUGGCAUUGCCCGGUAGCUAAAUGCGGAAGAGAUAAGUGCUGAAAGCAUCUAAGCACGAAACUUGCCCCGAGAUGAGUUCUCCCUGACUCCUUGAGAGUCCUGAAGGAACGUUGAAGACGACGACGUUGAUAGGCCGGGUGUGUAAGCGCAGCGAUGCGUUGAGCUAACCGGUACUAAUGAACCGUGAGGCUUAACCUUACAACGCCGAAG
This 2928-nucleotide ribosomal RNA is filed under the name Klebsiella grimontii. RNAcentral describes it as "23S ribosomal RNA". It matches the Rfam family "Bacterial large subunit ribosomal RNA". Lineage: Bacteria; Pseudomonadati; Pseudomonadota; Gammaproteobacteria; Enterobacterales; Enterobacteriaceae. The record is from RNAcentral.